UGGGGAAUAUUGCACAAUGGGGGAAACCCUGAUGCAGCGACGCCGCGUGAACGAAGAAGGUAUUCGUAUCGUAAAGUUCUGUCCUAUGGGAAGAUAAUGACAGUAUCAUAGAAGAAAGCUCCGGCUAAAUACGUGCCAGCAGCCGCGGUAAUACGUAUGGAGCGAGCGUUGUCCGGAAUUAUUGGGCGUAAAGGGUACGCAGGCGGAUUAAUAAGUCGAAUGUUAAAGAUCGGGGCUCAACCCCGCAAAGCAUUGGAAACUGAUAAACUUGAGUAGUGGAGAGGAAAGUGGAAUUCCUAGUGUAGUGGUGAAAUACGUAGAUAUUAGGAGGAAUACCAGUAGCGAAGGCGACUUUCUGGACACAAACUGACGCUGAGGUACGAAAGCGUGGGGAGCAAACAGG
This 403-nucleotide ribosomal RNA is filed under the name bacterium. RNAcentral's name for it is "partial 16S ribosomal RNA". It matches the Rfam family "Bacterial small subunit ribosomal RNA", at positions 355 to 776 of the family's 1533-position model. The record is from RNAcentral.